GAGAAACGCUGGCGGCGCACAUAAGACAUGCAAGUCGAACGGAAUUUAGUCGAAUGUUUACAUGAGACGAAAAUUUAGUGGCGGACGGGUGAGUAACACGUGAGCAACCUGCUUUUAAGAGGGGGAUAACAUUGAGAAAUCAGUGCUAAUACCGCAUAAAGCUGUAUAAUCGCAUGAUUAAACAGCCAAAGGAGAAAUCCGCUUAAAGAUGGGCUCGCGGCUGAUUAGUUAGUUGGUGGGGUAAUGGCCUACCAAGACGAUGAUCAGUAGCCGAGCUGAGAGGCACAACGGCCACAUUGGGACUGAGACACGGCCCAGACUCCUACGGGAGGCAGCAGUCGGGAAUAUUGCACAAUGGAGGAAACUACUGAUGCAGUGACGCCGCGUAUAGGAAGAAGGUCUUUGGAUUGUAAACUAUUGUCGACAGGGAGAAAAAAUGACAGU
This 444-nucleotide ribosomal RNA is filed under the name uncultured bacterium. RNAcentral describes it as "bacterial SSU rRNA". It matches the Rfam family "Bacterial small subunit ribosomal RNA", at positions 32 to 459 of the family's 1533-position model. The record is from RNAcentral.